GUGAAAGUAUGGGGUCUGGGUUGAGGAUGGGGUGGGGGUGGGGCCCAGUGGGCCUGGGCGGUGCUGACCGCUCAGCUGGGAAGUCCCAGCUGUUGGUCACUCGGGCUGUUUUGGAUGUCCCAGGCCUGGACCUGUCUCUCAGGGUCUCACUCGGUCGGCUCUUCCAGGGCACCGGCUGCCUGGGCUCAGUGUCUGCUCCCUCAGGUAUGUCCUGGUUAGGUGGGGCAGAAGGGCGGACGGGAGCUGCAGAUAGCUGGCAGGGACUCAAGGGACUGAAACCACUGCAGCUCUGCUAGUGGCCUUCCAGCCCAGGGUGGCUGGGCCACAGUGCCGCUCAGCCACAGGGACUCAUCCGCCCUCAUACCCUGGCAGUCAACACACAAGCAGAAAGCACAGAGACAUGAAGGUGUUCAUGAAGAUGCAGACAGACACAGGUGGACCCUGGAGAAAGCCCCCUGGAGCCCCCUGAGGCACACACCUACUGAACAGUCACACACAGGAGACAGGCCCACGUGCAGACAUGCCAAGCUCACAUACACUAAGUGUGGACAUAUCCCCAGACUCACACCAUACCUUAGAUCCACUUAUUCAUUUUCCCUGGGCACCUGCCCUGUACUGGCCCUGGCUGGGGGCUGGGUCAGCUCCAUUCCCUGCUCCGCAAGCUCCUGGUCACAGGCAGAGACAUCCCAGACUAUGUACCUGCCCCUUAGUCAUGGAGAUGGUGUGGCCAGGGCUGGGACUGGACCCACAACAGGAGGUGCUGACUGUGUCCUGGGGCUCCUCAGAGGAGGAACCUCUUCUGCUAAGCCUGAAGGAGCAGGUAGCUGGAGAAAGUGUGGCAGAGGUCACAAGUCUGUGCAAAGGUGUGGAGGAGUGGUGAGUGCUUCUGGGGUCAGAGUGGUGACAGGGUGGGGCAGAGCACGAGGGGCAGUUAGGAAGGGCCUCCGAUGCAAGCUAAGGAGGAGGUUGUUCUUCAGGGUGAUGGCAGCCUGGGAGCGUUCUGGUUUUUGGCUACUGUGAAGGGGGCCUUUUUGUCCCCACCCCCAGCCCAGUACUGGAGAUUAAACCCUGGCAUUCUGCCACUGAGCUAGACCCCCAGCCCUUUUUAUUUUAUUUAUUUAUUUAUUUUUUAAUUUUGAGACAGAGUUAAACCAAGUUGCCCAGGGCGGCCUCGAACUUGUGAUCCUUCCUCAAGUCACUGGAAAAACAGACUUCUUUUUUUUUUUUUUUGGAUGAACACAACACCUUCCUUCCUUUCUUUCUUUAAUUUAGUUCUGAGAAUUGAACCCAGUGCCUCACAUGUGUGAGAAAAGUGCUCUACCACUAAGCUAUAACCCCAGCCUGGAAAAAAAGAUUUUUAAGUGCUUUUUUUUUUCUUUUUGAUACUGGGGAUUGAACUCAAGGGUGCUCUACCACUGAGCUACAUUCCUGGUCCUUUAUAUUUUUUAUUUUGAGUCAGGGUCUCACCAAGUUGUUUAGGGUCUCAUUAAACUACUGAGGCUGGCCUCCAUCUUGCAAACCCUUUUGCUUCAGCCUCCUUGAGUCCCUGGGAUUAUAGAUGUAUGCCACUGUGCCUGGCUUUAAGUGACUUUUUUUGGGAGUACUAAGGAUUGUACCUAGGGGCAUUUUACCACUGAGCCACAUCCCUAGCCCUUUUUAUUUUUUAUUUUGAGACAGGGUCUUGCUAAAUUGCUGAGGGCCUGGCUAGAUUACUGAGGCUGGCUUUGAAUUUGUGAUCCUCUAGCCUCAGCCUCCUGAGUCCCUCGGAUUAUAGGUGUGUGCUACUGCACUUGGCUCAAAUGACUUUCUUAAUGUGUGUUUUUCUAAUAGGCUUUGCUGGGUGUAGGAGAGCUACUGAUUGUAUUUCCAAAAUCAAUCCAUGAAACUUACCCACCAAACUCUUCUGUUAGCUCUCAUUAUUUUCAGACUCAGAUUUUCUAAGCCGAUAAUCACACCACCAGUGAAUGACAGUUUUAUCUGUUUCUCCCUAAUAUUUAUAGUUAUUAUUUAUUUUUUCUUGCCUUUUUGCCUGAAUUAGUUCUUCUAGGCAAACAAUUUAGAAUAGUAACGAGAACAGACAUCCUUGUUCUUUCCCAUGUUCUCAGACUUCCAUCUUGCAAGGAAAGCUUUCUAGGCAGGUUGGGGUUUCAGCAAGGCCUCCCUUCUGCUCCAGGAACCCAAGGAGUUCAGUACGGAGAGAGGUUAGGAGGCUGUGAUCAGGUGGAGGUGGAUGGCAGGCGGGAAUUGGGGGGGCACUUCUGGCCCAGGUCACAGUGGCCAUUUCUG
RNAcentral lists this long non-coding RNA (2286 nucleotides) under Marmota monax (woodchuck). Lineage: Eukaryota; Metazoa; Chordata; Mammalia; Rodentia; Sciuridae. The record is from RNAcentral.